AACGCACAUUGCGCUCCUGGGUAUUCCUGGGAGCAUGCCCGUUUGAGAAUCAGUGAAACCUUCAGCGUCCCAGCCCGUGCCCUUCGGGGGUCCGGGAGGGUGGUGCUGGAUUUGGGUCCAUUUGUUCGAACCAUGGCGACCGGAGGGGGUCGCGGUAUGGGUAGAACAAUGACCUCAAAGCGAAUGUCCACGUUUCCUUCAGGCUGGAACGUCGUCCCGAGUGCUGGAAUGGUCUUCUGACUUCUUUUUGGUUCACUCACAAGGUCGCGGUCUUGGCAUGAGGUGUCGUGAGAACUCCACUGUUCACAGCAGGUUGCCUGUACCUUGGGUCGGGCGGUCUGUUAACUUGGUCUCAGAUCGGGUAGGAGAACCCGCUGAACUUAA
This 384-nucleotide unclassified non-coding RNA is filed under the name uncultured fungus. RNAcentral describes it as "partial contains 5.8S ribosomal RNA, internal transcribed spacer 2, and large subunit ribosomal RNA". Lineage: Eukaryota; Fungi. The record is from RNAcentral.